Molecule: non-coding RNA, 985 nt
Organism: Poecilia reticulata (guppy)
Lineage: Eukaryota; Metazoa; Chordata; Actinopteri; Cyprinodontiformes; Poeciliidae
Source: RefSeq, a predicted model, not a curated record
GGUUGUCAAAGAUCAGCUGUGAUUUUCUGGCCUCAGCUCUGAAGUCCAACAGUCUCCAUCUGACAGAACUGAACCUGGAUGGAAACAACCUGAAGGAUUCAGAUGUUCAGCAGCUGAAGGAUCUUGUAGAGACUUUAAAGUCGUAAAGUAGAGAACGGUCUCUGUGUCCUGCUGAUCCUCAGAGGUUGAAGCUGCAGCAGUUUGAGUCUAAAGAAACUGACUAGAUUAUGAUGAUGACCUCUGACCUUAAAGAUUUUCCUCCUGUUUAUUUUCUCAUGUCUGUCAUUUAGUGUCUGAUAUUGUUUGUCUUUUUGGAUCAAUAAAGAUCCGAUUCAAACUGRGCUCCAUUUAGAGGCUUCAUGGAGUUUUGAUCUGAACUGGAUUCAACUGGAAAGUUGAUCUUUUUUCUCUCUGGUUCAUUUUCAUCCUGGAACCAGAAAUGAUCUGAGAUGGAAACAUGGGAAUCAUUUUCAGUUCAGCUUUGAAUCAUGAAAGACACUUCAAACCUCUUUUCUCUGMUGCUUCUUCUUCUGUUGACAGGAAAAUGUUCCUCAAAGCUCCACAGAUAAAAAGAUGCUUUACUGGAAACUGCAGAGAAACUUCAGCUUCCAUCACAGAAACCAGUUUAACCAGUGCCAGAAAAAUUAUGUAUAUUUUUAUCACAUUCAUUUAUCUGUUUUCUUAUAUUUUGAGCAUGUAGACUGUUUAGGAUUUAAAUUGUUUAGUAUUAUGGAGCAAAUGUUACAAGAAUGUAUUCAGGUAUUCAUGGCCGUGAGAGGGAAGCAGAAGAGCCAUUGGCAGGGGAGAGCUGCUAAAGAGCACCAGGAGGUCAGAGCUCAAAGAUCAAAGCUUAUGAGCCAGAGAGACAAAGAAUUGUGCUUGGGUCCCUGUGUAUGAAGAAGACAGAAGACUCGUUUGAUGAGAACCUCGUAAUUAUCGUUUAAUUAUCAUCAAACGAUAAUUAAAAAAGCUGUGUGAAAGCCUA